RNAcentral lists this ribosomal RNA (493 nucleotides) under uncultured Lachnospiraceae bacterium. Its description in RNAcentral is "partial 16S ribosomal RNA". Lineage: Bacteria; Bacillati; Bacillota; Clostridia; Lachnospirales; Lachnospiraceae. The record is from RNAcentral.
CACGUAGUUAGCCGGGGCUUCUUAGUCAGGUACCGUCAUUAUCUUCCCUGCUGAUAGAGUUUUACAUACCGAAAUACUUCUUCACUCACGCGGCGUCGCUGCAUCAGGGUUCCCCCCAUUGUGCAAUAUUCCCCACUGCUGCCUCCCGUAGGAGUCUGGGCCGUGUCUCAGUCCCAAUGUGGCCGUUCACUCUCUCAAGCCGGCUACUGAUCGUCGCCUUGGUAAGCCGUUACCUUACCAACCAGCUAAUCAGACGCGGGUCCAUCCCAUAGCGAUAAAUCUUUCAAAAACAGGACCAUGCGGUCCCGCUUUCCCAUGCGGUAUUAGCAGCCGUUUCCAGCUGUUCGUCCCCCUCUAUGGGGCAGGUUACCCACGCGUUACUCACCCGUCCGCCACUCAGUCAUCCCAUAUGCUUCCUUCCCAGCAAGCUGGUUCUGUCUGCGGGUGGAUGCUUCGUUCGACUUGCAUGUGUUAGGCACGCCGCAGCGUUCAU